CCUACGGGAGGCAGCAGUGGGGAAUAUUGGACAAUGGGGGCAACCCUGAUCCAGCCAUGCCGCGUGUGUGAAGAAGGCCCUCGGGUUGUAAAGCACUUUCAGUGAGGAAGAACGCCUGGUGGUUAAUACCCAUCAGGAAAGACAUCACUCACAGAAGAAGCACCGGCUAACUCCGUGCCAGCAGCCGCGGUAAUACGGAGGGGGCGAGCGUUAAUCGGAAUUACUGGGCGUAAAGCGCGCGUAGGUGGCUUGAUAAGCCGGUUGUGAAAGCCCCGGGCUCAACCUGGGAACGGCAUCCGGAACUGUCAAGCUAGAGUGCAGGAGAGGAAGGUAGAAUUCCCGGUGUAGCGGUGAAAUGCGUAGAGAUCGGGAGGAAUACCAGUGGCGAAGGCGGCCUUCUGGACUGACACUGACACUGAGGUGCGAAAGCGUGGGUAGCAAACAGGAUUAGAUACCCUAGUAGUC
Molecule: ribosomal RNA, 465 nt
Filed under: Vreelandella stevensii
Lineage: Bacteria; Pseudomonadati; Pseudomonadota; Gammaproteobacteria; Oceanospirillales; Halomonadaceae
Description: partial 16S ribosomal RNA
Rfam family: Bacterial small subunit ribosomal RNA
Source: RNAcentral